GCAUGUCUAAGUAUGAACGCUCCUCAUUGUGAAACUGCGAAUGGCUCAUUAAAUCAGUUAUAGUUUAUUUGAUGGUACCUCCUACUUGGAUAACUGUGGUAAUUCUAGAGCUAAUACAUGCAGCAAGUCCCGACUUCUGGAAGGGACGUAUUUAUUAGAUACAAAACCAAUGCAGCUUCGGCUGGUCCCUUGGUGAUUCAUGAUAACUGCUCGAAUCGCAUGGCCUUGCGCCGGCGAUGGUUCAUUCAAGUUUCUGCCCUAUCAACUGUCGAUGGUAGGGUAUUGGCCUACCAUGGUUGCAACGGGUGACGGAGAAUUAGGGUUCGAUUCCGGAGAGGGAGCCUGAGAAACGGCUACCACAUCCAAGGAAGGCAGCAGGCGCGCAAAUUACCCAAUCCCGACUCGGGGAGGUAGUGACAAAAAAUACUGAUACCGGGCUCACAAAGUCCGGCAAUCGGAAUGAGAACAACUCAAACCCCUUAUCGAUGAACAAUUGGAGGGCAAGUCUGGUGCCAGCAGCCGCGGUAAUUCCAGCUCCAAUAGCGUAUAUUAAAGUUGUUGCAGUUAAAAAGCUCGUAGUUGGAUUUCGGGGCGGUCCCGUCGGUCCGUCGUGAGACUGGCACUGACGGGCCUCCCUUCCUCUCGAAGUCCCCGUCUGCUCUUCACUGCAGUGGAGUGGGGAAUUCGUGACGUUUACUGUGAAAAAAUUAGAGUGUUCAAAGCAGGCAGCCGCUUGAAUACAUUAGCAUGGAAUAAUGGAAUAGGACUUGGGUCCUAUUUUGUUGGUUUCCGGGACCGAAGUAAUGAUUAAUAGGGACAGUCGGGGGCAUUCGUAUUUAAUUG
RNAcentral lists this ribosomal RNA (843 nucleotides) under Aplysina sp. BZ257. Its description in RNAcentral is "SSU rRNA". It matches the Rfam family "Eukaryotic small subunit ribosomal RNA", at positions 53 to 904 of the family's 1831-position model. Lineage: Eukaryota; Metazoa; Porifera; Demospongiae; Verongiida; Aplysinidae. The record is from RNAcentral.